GAUGAACGCUAGCUACAGGCUUAACACAUGCAAGUCGAGGGACCGGCGCACGGGUGAGUAACACGUAUCCAACCUGCCCUUUACUCGGGGAUAGCCUUUCGAAAGAAAGAUUAAUACCCGAUGUCAAGGAUGGGGAUGCGUUCCAUUAGGUUGUUGAUGAGGUAACGGCUCACCAAGCCUUCGAUGGAUAGGGGUUCGGAGAGGAAGGUCCCCGAGAUUGGAACUGAGACACGGUCCACACUCCUACGGGAGGCAGCAGUGAGGAAGAUUAGGCAAUGAGCGUUAGCCUGAACCAGCCAAGUAGCGUGAAGGAUGAAGGCUUAUGGGUCGUAAACUUCUUGUAUAGAAGAAUAUGUAUUAUAUGAAUAAGGAUCGGCUAACUCCGUGCCAGCCGCCGCGGUAAUAC
RNAcentral lists this ribosomal RNA (406 nucleotides) under uncultured bacterium. RNAcentral's name for it is "partial 16S ribosomal RNA". It matches the Rfam family "Bacterial small subunit ribosomal RNA", at positions 28 to 526 of the family's 1533-position model. The record is from RNAcentral.